AGUAGAGAAAAACACAGGACUAUGUUGGACAGUCCUGGUCUUGAACUCCUGACCUCAGGUGAUCAGCCCGCCUCGGCCUCCCAAAGUGCUGGGGAUUACAGGUGUGAGCCACCAUGCCCGGCCUUCAAUCUGUUCCAGUAAAGAUUUGAUCAAGACUACUCUUCUGAGACUGCUGUUGUCAAGGUCAGAAUCUUAGGAUGACCGAAUCACAAAAUAGAUAAAGAAGGAAAUACUCAACCAAAGCAGAGGAAAGCUCUAAAGAUUUACUGUUUCUGCAGAAGUAUGCAGGAAGAUUUAUUUACUGAGAUGAAUGCAAAAAUGGGUUAUCAGGAGUGCAGUAGUGUGAUCUUGGCUCACUGCAACCUCCAUCUGCUGGGCUCGAUUCUCCCACCUUGGUCACCAGAUUAGCUGGCAAUACAGGUAUGUGCUAGCAAUUCUGGCUAAUUUUUUUUUUUUUUUUUUUUUUUUUUUUUUUGCAUAGCUGGGGUUUCAACAUGUUGUUCAGCCUGGUCUCAAACUUCUGGGCUCAAGUAACCUGCCUGCCUUGGCUUUCCAAAGUGCUGA
This 564-nucleotide long non-coding RNA is filed under the name Callithrix jacchus (white-tufted-ear marmoset). RNAcentral describes it as "lncRNA (ENSCJAG00000077085.1)". The record is from RNAcentral. Lineage: Eukaryota; Metazoa; Chordata; Mammalia; Primates; Cebidae.